CCUACGGGAGGCAGCAGUGAGGAAUAUUGCUCAAUGGGGGUAAGCCUGAUGCAGCAAAGCCGCGUGAGUGAAGAAGUACUUAGGGAUGGAAAGCCCUGUCAGCAGGGGAGAAAAUGGCGGUACCUGACCAAGAAGCCCCGGCUAACUACGUGACGGCAGCCGCGGUAAUACGUAGGGGGCAAGCGUUAUCCGGAUUUACUGGGUGUAAAGGGGGCGUAGACGGCCAGUCAAGUCUGGAGUGAAAGCCCGUGGCUCAACCACGGGAUUGCGUUUGAAACGGUGUGGCUGGAGUGUAGGAGGGGUAAGCGGAAUGCCUGGUGUAGCGGUGAAAUGCGUAGAUAUUAGGAGGAACACCGGUGGCGAAGGCGGCUUACUGGACUGUAACUGACGUUGAGGCUCGAAGGCGUGGGGAGCAAACAGGAUUAGAUACCCUUGUAGUC
This 440-nucleotide ribosomal RNA is filed under the name uncultured bacterium. RNAcentral's name for it is "partial 16S ribosomal RNA". It matches the Rfam family "Bacterial small subunit ribosomal RNA", at positions 338 to 795 of the family's 1533-position model. The record is from RNAcentral.